Molecule: unclassified non-coding RNA, 204 nt
Filed under: Hevea brasiliensis (rubber tree)
Lineage: Eukaryota; Viridiplantae; Streptophyta; Magnoliopsida; Malpighiales; Euphorbiaceae
Source: RNAcentral
AAGGCGGGAAUGUUGUCCCUUUAUUCCACCUCGCUGUUCUGUAUAAAAGGGACAAACAUAAAAUAGGAGGGGCAUUGAUGUUCUGCCUUUAUGGUGACAGUGGAGUUGUCACAGAGCCAAUUCAGUGUCUGUGUACAAUUGUAGAGCUGGCAGAGCGGGAGAGGAUGUUGAAACAGUUAUGUUACAUACAGUAAGGUGUAUAAA